AAGUUCCUACGGGGCGCAGCAGUGGGGAAUAUUGGGCAAUGGGCGCAAGCCUGACCCAGCAACGCCGCGUGAAGGAAGAAGUAUUUCGGUAUGUAAACUUCUAUCAGCAGGGAAGAAAAUGACGGUACCUGACUAAGAAGCCCCGGCUAACUACGUGCCAGCAGCCGCGGUAAUACGUAGGGGGCAAGCGUUAUCCGGAUUUACUGGGUGUAAAGGGAGCGUAGGCGGUUUAGCAAGUCAGAAGUGAAAGCCCGGGGCUCAACUCCGGGGCUGCUUUUGAAACUGUUGAACUAGAUUGCAGGAGG
This 305-nucleotide ribosomal RNA is filed under the name uncultured bacterium. Its description in RNAcentral is "bacterial SSU rRNA". It matches the Rfam family "Bacterial small subunit ribosomal RNA", at positions 333 to 655 of the family's 1533-position model. The record is from RNAcentral.